Molecule: ribosomal RNA, 253 nt
Filed under: uncultured bacterium
Lineage: Bacteria
Description: partial 16S ribosomal RNA
Rfam family: Bacterial small subunit ribosomal RNA
Source: RNAcentral
UACGUAGGGUGCAAGCGUUGUCCGGAAUUACUAGGCGUAAAGGGCAGGUAGGCGGUCUCGUUAGUCUGUUGUGAAAGCUCCUUGCUUAACGGGGAGAGGCCAACAGAUACUGCGAGGCUUGAGUAUAGGAGAGGGUACUGGAAUUCCCGGUGUAGCGGUGAAAUGCGCAGAGAUCGGGAGGAACACCAAUGGCGAAAGCAGGUACCUGGACUAUUACUGACGCUAAGCUGCGAAAGCUAGGGGAGCAAACAGG